AGUGAACGCUGGCGGCAGGCCUAAUACAUGCAAGUCGAACGGCAGCACAGUGGAGCUUGCUCCAUGGGUGGCGAGUGGCGGACGGGUGAGGAAUACAUGGGAAUCUGCCCAGUCGUGGGGGAUAACGUAGGGAAACUUACGCUAAUACCGCAUGCGCCCUUCGGGGGAAAGCCGGGGACCUUCGGGCCUGGCGCGAUUGGAUGAGCCCAUGUUCGAUUAGCUAGUUGGCGGGGUAAAGGCCCACCAAGGCGACGAUCGAUAGCUGGUCUGAGAGGAUGAUCAGCCACACUGGGACUGAGACACGGCCCAGACUCCUACGGGAGGCAGCAGUAGGGAAUAUUGGACAAAGGGCGCAAGCCUGAUCCAGCCAUGCCGCGUGAGUGAAGAAGGCCCUCGGGUUGUAAAGCUCUUUUGUCCGGGAAGAAAAGCAUCGGGCUAAUACCUCGGUGUUCUGACGGUACCGGAAGAAUAAGCACCGGCUAACUUCGUG
RNAcentral lists this ribosomal RNA (490 nucleotides) under uncultured bacterium. RNAcentral describes it as "partial 16S ribosomal RNA". It matches the Rfam family "Bacterial small subunit ribosomal RNA", at positions 29 to 507 of the family's 1533-position model. The record is from RNAcentral.